RNAcentral lists this long non-coding RNA (727 nucleotides) under Equus asinus (donkey). RNAcentral's name for it is "lncRNA (ENSEASG00005033173.1)". Lineage: Eukaryota; Metazoa; Chordata; Mammalia; Perissodactyla; Equidae. The record is from RNAcentral.
CACACUGGGGCAAAGUGGUUCAACCAGGGCCUCAAGGCCAGGUGGAGGCAGGACUGGAACUGGAAGGGGCGUUGCUUCUCCUAACUGAGGCUCCCAGCCAAGCCUCAUCUGCCAUAAUGUCCCCUCCUCCCAAUGCCAGGGCAAAGUCAGCGGGAUGGAAACCGGCAGACUGGAGGAAGCUGGGGCCCCGUGGUUUACUCAGAGACCACUGAAGGCAGAACAGGCACCUCUCACGCCCCGUGCCAGCCACAGGGCAAACCUAGUUGUAAUCUCCACGGCCAGCAGGCCCAGCGUCUUUCUAAGUGUGCAUCAUCUCCAUGAACCCGCUCACCCAUCAUGAGAUCCAAAAUUGCAAUUGCUGGGUCAUAAGGUUUCAGCUGAAACUACUGAAAAUAUACAUAGAUCUGUUUACGUGGAACCAGUUAAAUAAGAUAAGAUUACGACUUGGAGGUAACUGUGGAUUUGGUGGUGGGAAAAGAAAGCCCCUCCACAUUUGGUCCCCACACACCCUCCUGCCAUUGGACCACAGACACUGUCGAGAGAAUUGGAUUUGCUGUGAAUUAAAGAGAUCUCAAUUAUUUGAGAUUAGUUACAAACAAACUCGAGAUAUCCCAACAGCCUUUCUGCAGAGCGUCAUUCCUGCCUCGCCUCCAACCUGGGCUGAGACCUUGGUCACCAGAGAGGAGACUGCAGCUGGGAAGUCCUUUGUUUCCGAGUGAGCCUGUCU